UUAAUACUCCCUCCGUCCCAUAUUAAGUGCCGAAAUAUUACAUGUAUCGAGACGUAUUUACUAUAUAGAUACAUCCAUAUUUAGACAAAUUUGAGUCACUUAAUAUGGGACGGAGGGAGUAUAUA
This is a non-coding RNA of Brachypodium distachyon (stiff brome), 125 nucleotides long. The record is from Rfam. NCBI's taxonomy places the organism in Eukaryota, Viridiplantae, Streptophyta, Magnoliopsida, Poales, Poaceae.